AACGAACGCUGGCGGCAUGCCUAACACAUGCAAGUCGAACGAUGCCUUCGGGCAUAGUGGCGCACGGGUGCGUAACGCGUGGGAAUCUGCCUUUCGGUUCGGAAUAACUCAGGGAAACUUGAGCUAAUACCGGAUAACGUCGCAAGACCAAAGAUUUAUCACCGAAAGAUGAGCCCGCGUAGGAUUAGCUAGUUGGUGAGGUAAAGGCUCACCAAGGCGACGAUCCUUAGCUGGUCUGUGAGGAUGAUCAGCCACACUGGGACUGAGACACGGCCCAGACUCCUACGGGAGGCAGCAGUGGGGAAUAUUGGACAAUGGGCGAAAGCCUGAUCCAGCAAUGCCGCGUGAGUGAUGAAGGCCUUAGGGUUGUAAAGCUCUUUUACCCGGGAAGAUAAUGACGGUACCGGGAGAAUAAGCCCCGGCUAACUCCGUG
Molecule: ribosomal RNA, 433 nt
Filed under: uncultured bacterium
Lineage: Bacteria
Description: partial 16S ribosomal RNA
Rfam family: Bacterial small subunit ribosomal RNA
Source: RNAcentral